Molecule: long non-coding RNA, 5577 nt
Filed under: Oryza sativa (Asian cultivated rice)
Lineage: Eukaryota; Viridiplantae; Streptophyta; Magnoliopsida; Poales; Poaceae
Description: long non-coding RNA (OSAT_LNC001169)
Source: RNAcentral
AAACAGUGAUAACGCGGGAAUUUAAAUAAAGCGAUAAUGCAAUAAUUUAAAUCAACAUAAUUCUAUAAAAUGGGAUUCAAUAUGAUCAAGAUGAUGUGUCUUGCCUUGCUCGUUUUCCCAAUCGACGGCUUCGACUUCCACGAAGAGCGGAUCUUCCGAAGCUGCAGCGUCUACACGACCAACGGAAAAGAAAAAGGCUUUAACACUAAAUAACUCCACAUAACAGCAGAAACAAAGCACAAAAAUGGGUUCUUUACAUCUUAAGGAAAAAUUAGAGACUUCAACGGUCCAAUUCCGAGUUCAAAUGGCCAAGAUAUGGCCAUUUGAAGUUUAUAUGCUCUUUAAAUGGAUAUUUGCGAAUUUCUUCAUUUAAUUUUCAAUUAAAAAAUCCUAUUUAUUGCGUCAGCCGAGGGGCGGGCGCGCGGACCGGGUCCACGGGGGUGGGGCCCACGCGUCAGCCGCUCGGUCCACGGUGGACCGGGCGCACGCGGCUGGCGGCGGUCGGCGCCGUGGGUCCCGCGCGUCAGCCGCACCCGCGGGCGCGGGCGGCUGACGGCCGGGCCCACUUGGCAGCCGCAAGGGCGCGCCCGAGGGCGGCCUCGCCGGCGCGGCCGACGGGAGGAGCGCGCCCGCGCCCCGAUGGUCGCCGCCGGCGACCAACGGCGCGGCGGAGCGGCACCCGAGAGAGAGGAGGGAAGGGGGAAACGAACGGAGCGGUCCACGGCUCACCCCAAGACGGCGAAGGCGGUGGAAACGGCGGACGGAGCGGAGGAAGACGGCGGCGCGGCGGGAGGAGGGAGAUGACAGGUGGGCCCCACCCGUCAGCGAGAGCGGCGGGCGGGCCCGCCUGUCAGCGGCGCGCGCGCGCGGGGAGGCCGAUGGGCCGCGGGGGAGGAGAGAGAGAGAGGAAGGGAGAAGUGGGCCGAGCCGGCCCAAGAGGGAAGGGGGGGGAAAAAGAACUUCUUUUAGGGUUUUCUUUUUAUAAAACCUAUUUAACUUUGUUUAUUUCUUUUCACUUAUUAUUUGUGCUCUGAAAAUUCCACUAAAAUUUGUUUAAGCAUUUUAGGCUUUUAGGAAAUAUACAAAAAUCCUCCAAGCCUCAUUUGACUUUUAUCUUUGCACAUUUUAAUUGUUGGAGGCUUUCACAUUGAAUUUUAAUUAUUCUUUUGCACAAUUUCGAGGAUAGAUUUUAGAGUCGAUUUGGGACGCGACAGGUGUAGAACCAGUCGCUCUUCCAGUCAUCCCACUUCUUGCGGAGGACGCAGGGGAUGUAGCGGUUCAACACCGGCCCCCGCGGCAGGAAGUAGCAGCCCCCGACCACCGACGGUGGCGAUACCGACUGCACGGUGAAGAACCACCGGAACAGCCGAAGAGAUGGGCGCACCCCAAUGAACAUCUCGCACAGGUGCGCAAAGAUGGCUAAUGUCAUCACUGCAUUGGGGGUAAGGUGCGCCAUCUGGAGAUCGUAGAACUCCAGGACAUCCAUGAAGAAAGAAGAAAAUGGCGGAACCAGCCCUGCCAUUGCAAAGGGGAGAAAGAAGACGGACCGUCCCGGGUAGUCUGGCGCUGGGCGUCCCUCGCCCAGCAUGACUAUCUCACGGCCGGUGGCAGAUUCCGGCAUGAAGCGGAGCGGCAACCCGGCCUGCUUCUCGCUCACGAUGCGGGAAGGCGGCAGCACACUACCAUCAAGCAGUGCGGAGCCCCGUGCCAUGGCGCCGGACGAAGAGAAGAUGGAGAGCGAGCGCGUGUGGCGAAAGAAGGGCGCAGGGAAGAAGGAGUUAGGGCGCAAGCGGCGAAGACAAGGGGAAUGAUGGCGAAAGGAAGGAAACAAAUCCCUUCCUCAGUGCCUUUAUACCCUUGCCAACACUGUGCCCGGCUCCUCGUUUCUCGCGCCCACUAUUGCGCCCCCUCGUCUCUCGCGCCCACGCUUCCACUAAUCCCAUUCGCCCGCUUGCGGCGCAUGAGGUGGAUAUGCGGUUGUGGCGGUCGAGGUAGAUCAUAUCGAGCGCGCGAUAAUUACGCUCGCCAACCGAAGCGACGUUACCAUAUCUUCAGAUGAAACGAAUCGCCAUGUCCAGAUUCGUGUGCUACUCGAGUAAUGUGGCAGUCUUGAAGAGACCGCUCAUUGCUGACAGCCGAGUUACCAUUGCCGAUGUGCGCAGUUUGUGACCGUUGGGUUUCUGCCUAUUUGUAGAGACCGGUCCCACUUGUCACCAGGCUUUAGGGGUGGCGUCACGCCCGACCGCUCCCCUUGAAAAGGGCGAUUGCCCUGGCAUAACGCCGGGGGCUACUGUCGGUGACAUGGGACCGGGAGUAUCAUGACUAGAGGCUUGAGGCAGACACAAUCACCCACGUGGCCUGGCACCCUCGGGGGACGUCGGGCCCGAGGGUGAUGUGUGCGCCCACCUCUUGGUCUCCCCGAGGGGGGGGGGUCGGACCACUCCUGCCUCGCCCCCGAGGGCCGAGGCGCCCCGACCCCUCGCGGGUUCUACUCCGCGUGUAUGGGUUAGGUGAGCACAGCGGGGCUCACCUAACCGCAUUUAUUGCGCCUCGGCUAAACGUGUCACACCGCACGAAGUGCAGUGCAGUGCACUCGUUUAUCCGGUCUGUGACCAGUCACAGACCGGUCAGAUCGCGGGUUAGGUGGCGACAGGCGGUCUGACGCACGCUUCGCCCCAUCCCGUCAAGACGAGAGCUUCUAGGCACUCGUCCCCAGCUGGAGCUAGCGUGUUACAUCCCAGAGAUGGCACGUUAGCCCCGGUCGAUAUAUGCCAGGCUUCAUCCUAACCAUUACAGGCAAGAUGUUGUGUGAAGAAGGGCAAACAUGCACGUUGCUAAGCUGACGCGUGGUGGACAAGAAUGACCGAUUUGUGACCGGUCUGACACUGCUCAUGUCGUCAGCACACAGCCACAUUCCCACGACGCGCCUGCCUCCGGCAGAAGUGGAGGUAGGUGUGUGCCGUCCCGUCAGGAGGAUGUUCGGAGGACAACCGUGCAAAUCUCCGUCCAUUUAUGAAGAGAAGAAAAGUCCAGUUUGGAAAGAGAGGGGUGCAUGUGGUAUCCCCUUGAAGUAUAAAAGGAGGACCUUGCCCAUGGGAAAAAGGGGAGGAUGAUCUUUUCCAGAUUCGGGACCUAGAACAAGGGAGAGUUUGGCUCACACUUUGUAGCUCCUUCAUACUCAGAUCCACCAAAACACAGGAGUAGGGUAUUACGCUUCUCAGCGGCCCGAACCUGUAUACGUCGUUUGUGUCUCAUGCUCUUUCGGUAGGUCGCGAUCUUUCCACAUACAGAGAGAGCUUGGGAUCUCACCCUGAGCCCCCGGCCGAACCGGCAAAGGGGGGCCUGUGCGGUCUCCCGGUGAGGAGCCCCGCGCUCCGUCAACGUCCAUGCCUAGCUAUAAUUAAUAUUGGUACUUUUAGCUUGAGAUUAUCCAUUCAUCUCCAUAGAGCAGCUACAGGAUGCACGAGACUCAGCCUAUUCAUUCGCGGUCCACAACGGGUUCGCACAUCAACCCAACUUAACCCGUAGCAAUCGGGUUUAGACGGUUUGGUCCAACGGUUUUUCCGGGUUAAACCAUCUACUUCUUGUCUUCUUCCUCCUCUGUUCAACUGCCCACGAGAACGAACUAGAGCAAAUGAGAAACCAUGGAUGUUCUCAGCGAAAAGAUUGAAAGUUUGUAACAGCUGAGAUGGUGCAGGCUCUGCCGGCGCCAGGCAUCAUGGAGUGGGAGGGGCCGUGCGCGCGGCCGCGCCGCCCAUGGGGCCAAGCCGCGUGCCGCCGCUGCCGCCGCCCCGCCGCCGCCGUCCCCGCCGCCGCCGCCGCCGAUCUGUCCAAGCCGAGGCGGAGGUGAAGCCGGCGGAUGGUCUGCACCUACUGCAACUCGCGGCUCUCGGCAUGUGACUCCGACGCCGGCGCCUCCAUCAGCAAGGUUGACUAGGGCGGAGAGAGGCUGGCGAUGAGAAUGUUAGAGUUUGUGUCGAAUAAGUGUACGUAGUCGGUUACAGUUUAGGACUUGCAGUUGUAAUAGGUAUUAGGACUAGACUAUGAGUCGGACUCUAUCCUAGGUUCUCUCAUAAAUAGAGGGGUGUGCCUGUUGUUACCGCAUGGCAACUUAGCAUAGCGAGAGGGAGCGGCUGCCGGCGGCGACCGGCCAUGAGUCGUUGUAACUCUGAUACGUUGUAUAUGCUGGAUCGGGGAGAAGCGAUCAUAAUCAGUGCCCCGGAGAUGUAGGCUACGGCUAAACUCCGUUACCAAAUAUCGUGUCUCGGUGUCGUCAUCGUUUUGGAUCUCCUAUGGCGUUUUCUUCCGCAUUUAGCUACCGAUGUCGAUUUCGGGGCUGGUUUUCUAACAAGUGGUAUGAGAGCCUGCAGGAGGUCCAUGGUAGAGGCACGAUGGAGGUGCUCCACACCGCGUAGCCUGCUAUAAUGCCUAGGGAGGGGCAUUGGCGCAAGGUGGAGCACGGCGGUGAGCAACGGAGUCAUGAUCGGUGGAUCGAACACUUCUGGCGGCGGCCGGAACCGUCGAUGGCUGCUUUCAACAGGGAGAUGACUAGACUUGGUGCUCGGGUUGAUGGUGGCGGAAGCGAUUGGCAAAUCAAUCGGUGGGUCAGACACUUUGGGCGGGUGGCCCGGACUUUCCGGUGAGCUACUCUCGACAGGGAGACGUGCGGCCGCACGCUCGGGUUGAUUGAAGCUGGAGGCGAUCGGCGUUCUCGAUCGGUGGAUUCAAACACUCUGGGCGGGGUGGCCCAGGCCUUUCGAUGAGUUGCAUUCGACAGGGAGACGGCUAGACGUAGCGCUCGGGUCGUUCGGCGGCUGGGAAGAUGGCAUGCGACUUGUUGGCUUCGGCUCGCGACUAGAUUGAUGGCGUUCAAUCGGAAGUCGGAGCGGGUGGAUCCUAUAGGCUGUUUUGGAGGUUUUGACGAGGUAUUUGCACGGUAGAAUUGCUUCAAAGGCGGCGUAUUAGCGGUGGAUGGCAGAACUAAGCCUAGGGCGUCUAGACUGGCAUCUGGCCCUAGAGAGGUCUGGUUCUACUGUUUCUAGCACAGAUCAAGAAAAUCACGAUGACAAUAGAUCAGUGGCACUAGUCAUUGGUGUAGUUAGCAAGUGGUGUUUGGCGGUGGUGGUAGGUUCCGCUGGAGAUACGAAGAAGCCUAGGAGGUCAGGGUCGCGGCGGUGUGCGCGUUUUGCGUCGAAGCCGAGCCGGCGGCGGAGAACAGGAUGAUGCCAAGAAGGAGCGGGCUGAGCCAGGACGUGCAAGGUUUGGUGUUUGUCGGAUUCGUGAUGCAGAGGAAGACUCGGCCACGGAGUUAUCUAUGUGUCGGUCAUGGCAUGGACACGACCGAAGACAAGCUGGAUGGAUACCGAGUUCAACAUGGGAGGGAGUACGAUACGGUUUUGAUUUGGACACUAAAUCGGGUGUUUUCCCCAAAUAAAAGCAGUAAAGGAACCACGGGAUUGCAACAACGCAAUCGAAACAAAUCACAAGGCAAGGGCGAGAUCUUACCUCUGAUUUUGUGGGCAGCGUGGUUUGGGGCGGCGAGUUCACGGGCGACUGGAGGCGUCAUUGCAGGCGGCG